RNAcentral lists this ribosomal RNA (469 nucleotides) under uncultured bacterium. RNAcentral's name for it is "SSU rRNA". It matches the Rfam family "Bacterial small subunit ribosomal RNA", at positions 26 to 518 of the family's 1533-position model. The record is from RNAcentral.
AGGACGAACGCUUGCGACGUGCCUAAGAAAUGCAAGUCGAACGGAUCAGCAGCAAUGCUGGUUAGUGGCGAACGGUCGCGUAACACGUGGGCAACCUGCCCUGAAGCGGGGGACAACAACUCGAAAGAGUUGCUAAUACCGCAUGUGUAUCGGGAUGGCAUCAUCCAGGAUACAAAGCCGCAAGGCACUUCAGGAUGGGCCCGCGGCCUAUCAGCUAGUUGGUGAGGUAACGGCCCACCAAGGCUUCGACGGGUAGCUGGUCUGAGAGGACGAUCAGCCGGAUUGGGACUGAGAUACGGCCCAGACUCCUACGGGGGGCAGCAAUUAGGAAUCUUGCACAAUGGGCGAAAGCCUGAUGCAGCGACGUCGCGUGUGGGAUGAAGCCUUUCGGGGCGUAAACCACUUUUAUCGGGAAGAAAAAAUGACGGUACCGAUGAAUAAGCCCGGCUAACUACGUGCCAGCAGCCGC